AGUGAACGCUGGCGGUAGGCCUAACACAUGCAAGUCGAACGGCAGCACAGUAAGAGCUUGCUCUUACGGGUGGCGAGUGGCGGACGGGUGAGGAAUACAUCGGAAUCUACUUUUUCGUGGGGGAUAACGUAGGGAAACUUACGCUAAUACCGCAUACGACCUACGGGUGAAAGCAGGGGAUCUUCGGACCUUGCGCGAUUGAAUGAGCCGAUGUCGGAUUAGCUAGUUGGCGGGGUAAAGGCCCACCAAGGCGACGAUCCGUAGCUGGUCUGAGAGGAUGAUCAGCCACACUGGAACUGAGACACGGUCCAGACUCCUACGGGAGGCAGCAGUGGGGAAUAUUGGACAAUGGGCGCAAGCCUGGUCCAGCCAUACCGCGUGGGUGAAGAAGGCCUUCGGGUUGUAAAGCCCUUUUGUUGGGAAAGAAAAGCAGCAGGUUAAUACCCCGCUGUUCUGACGUUACCCAAAGAAUAAGCACCGGCUAACUUCGUG
RNAcentral lists this ribosomal RNA (492 nucleotides) under uncultured bacterium. RNAcentral describes it as "partial 16S ribosomal RNA". It matches the Rfam family "Bacterial small subunit ribosomal RNA", at positions 29 to 507 of the family's 1533-position model. The record is from RNAcentral.